Sapajus apella (tufted capuchin) is the source of this 97-nucleotide long non-coding RNA. RefSeq lists it as uncharacterized. The record is from RefSeq and is a predicted model, not a curated record. The transcript has 3 exons. NCBI's taxonomy places the organism in Eukaryota, Metazoa, Chordata, Mammalia, Primates, Cebidae.
CAUAGCUUCACCAUAGAUACACAACCAGAAAAACCUACUAUGGGCACUUAAUAGGUCAAAGGCCCUUGGUUCUCCAACAGAGAAUUUAUCUACAAAA